CAAUUGGUUUUAAUUCCUUAUAAUAUUGGGUAAUUAUCUAAAACUAUUUAUUUCAUGUGUUCAAAUGAUAAUAAACUUAUUAAGCUUAUACUUGUGACUUGUUCAAUUGUAGGUACCAUUGGAUAUUGUUAGUCAUUGAUCUAACAUUGAUGAUUGUGUACUUACUUGAUCCGAUUAAUUCUAAAAUAAACACAAGCUUUGAAAUUGUAAUAAAAACUGCUUUGAAAAUUUAUGAAACUACCCAAAGGAGGAGGAGGACCAAUCCAGUUUGGAAAGUAGUUCAGUCCCCGCAACAACCUACAAACGUGGAAUGUGGGUUUUAUGUAAUGCGGUAUAUGAAAGACCUCAUUAGAGAUCAAAGCAUCCUAAGAAAACAAAAUUUCAAUGGAAAAAAGACUUACACGGAAACCGAACUUGAUGAAGUGCGAGUUGAAUGGAUUAAUUUCGUACUAAAGAAUAUGAGUUGAAAUCCAAUGAGAUGAAGAGUCAGUGUGAUGAGAAAAUGUUCGAUUUCGUCUUUUGUCAGAAAUUUCUUG
This is a non-coding RNA of Camellia sinensis, 536 nucleotides long. The record is from RefSeq and is a predicted model, not a curated record. Lineage: Eukaryota; Viridiplantae; Streptophyta; Magnoliopsida; Ericales; Theaceae.